Molecule: ribosomal RNA, 497 nt
Filed under: uncultured bacterium
Lineage: Bacteria
Description: partial 16S ribosomal RNA
Rfam family: Bacterial small subunit ribosomal RNA
Source: RNAcentral
GAUGAACGCUGGCGGCGUGCCUAAUACAUGCAAGUCGAGCGAACAGAUGAGGAGCUUGCUCCUCUGACGUUAGCGGCGGACGGGUGAGUAACACGUGUAUAACCUACCUAUAAGACUGGGAUAACUUCGGGAAACCGGAGCUAAUACCGUAUAAUAUAUUGAACCGCAUGGUUCAAUAGUGAAAUACGGUUUUGCUGUCACUUAUAGAUGGAUCCCCGCCGCAUUAGCUAGUUGUUAAGUUAACGGCUUUCCAAGGGAACGAUGCGUAGCCGACCUGAGAGGGUGAUCGGCCACACUGGAACUUAGACACGGUCCAGACUCCUACGGGACGCAGCAGUAGGGAAUCUUACGCAGUGGGCGAGAGCCUGACGGAGCAACGCGGAGUGAGUGAUGAAGGUCUUCGGAUCGUAAAAAUCUGUUAUUAGGGAAGAACAAAUGUGUAAGUAACUAUGCACGUCUUGACGGUACCUAAUCAGAAAGCCACGGCUAACUACGUG